CAAUGGGAUCAUUUCUUGAAUCACUUCAACCUUGGAAGUCUAUGAGCCCAUAGUAGGAGCCUGGAGAAACCCAGCCUUUUCCUGUCUGCUCAUUCCUGACCUCAGCAAAGAACCUGCACCCCCUCCCCACUUUCCCCCAUCUGGUGAGGGAACAGAAUGCCUGUCCAGAGCUUCCAACUGCCACACAGGGCCUCAGAUCCCCUGCAAAGGUUAGGCCACUUCCUGUCCCAUUCUCUAUUCCUUUGCAUCUCUUAACUCCUUUUUUCCUCACAGAGAGUGGAACAGAGUGAGACUGAGCCCAGCUCUGAGGAGCUCUGCUGGCCACAUUCUCCUAGGCCUCAGCAGCAACAAACUAGGUGGGGAAAUUGAAGCUGAGCAGGAAGGAAUUUGCCUGAAGCACUUGAUGAUUUGGUGGAGAGAUUGCUUUACUAGGAAUCUGAAGACACCUGGGUCCUGGUCCCAGCUCUGCCCCUUACUAGCUGUGUGACCAUGAGCAUGAAUCUUCCUCUGGAUGUGGAGAAGAACCUCCAUUUAAAAAGGUUACCAACUUGAUCAAUGACAUGUAAAACUCAAGGAGCUUUCUCCUCCUGCUUAUAUCUGCUUACCCAAUACUUAUCAUACUGCCUGCACAUAGUAAGCACUAACUAGAUGCUUGUUGACUGACUGCCUCAGUUUCCUAAUCCAUAAAAUGGAGAUAAUAACAGCUCCCACCUUCCAGAGUUGUCGUGAGAAUAAAAUGAAAUGACAUUUAUAAAGUCUUUGCA
This 764-nucleotide long non-coding RNA is filed under the name Monodelphis domestica (gray short-tailed opossum). RNAcentral's name for it is "lncRNA (ENSMODG00000044136.1)". The record is from RNAcentral. Lineage: Eukaryota; Metazoa; Chordata; Mammalia; Didelphimorphia; Didelphidae.